UGGGAAUAUUGGACAAUGGGCGAAAGCCUGAUCCAGCAAUGCCGCGUGAAUGAUGAAGGCCUUCGGGUCGUAAAGUUCUUUUAGCAGGGAAGAAGGGCAACUUGACGGUACCUGCAGAAAAAGCACCGGCUAACUCCGUGCCAGCAGCCGCGGUAAUACGGAGGGUGCAAGCGUUGUUCGGAAUCAUUGGGCGUAAAGCGCGUGUAGGCGGUUUACUAAGUCUGGUGUGAAAGCCCGGGGCUUAACCCCGGAAGUGCAUUGGAUACUGGUUUACUAGAGGACGGGAGAGGGAAGCGGAAUUCCUGGUGUAGGGGUGAAAUCCGUAGAUAUCAGGAGGAACAUCAGUGGCGAAGGCGGCUUCCUGGUCCGUGCCUGACGCUGAGACGCGAAAGCGUGGGGAGCAAAC
RNAcentral lists this ribosomal RNA (406 nucleotides) under uncultured bacterium. RNAcentral describes it as "bacterial SSU rRNA". It matches the Rfam family "Bacterial small subunit ribosomal RNA", at positions 356 to 773 of the family's 1533-position model. The record is from RNAcentral.